UACGAGGGAUGCAAGCGUUAUCCGGAAUUAUUGGGCGUAAAGCGUUUGUAGGCGGGCGAGUGUGUUUAAUGUUAAAUCUUAAAGCUCAACUUUGAAAUUGCGUUAAAAACUGCUUGUCUUGAGUAUGGUAGGGGUAAAGGGAAUUCCCAGUGUAGCGGUGAAAUGCGUAGAUAUUGGGAAGAACACUAAACAGCGAAGGCACUUUACUAGGCUAAUACUGACGCUGAGAAACGAAAGGUAAGGUAGCGAAACGGAUUAGAUACCCGUGUAGUCUUACCCGUAAACUAUGGACACUAAACGGUAAAUUUUUAAUUUACUGUUAAAGCUAACGCGUUAAGUGUCCCGCCUGGGGAGUAUGCUUGCAAAAGUGAAACUCAAAGGAAUUGACGGGGGCCCGCACAAGCGGUGGAGCAUGUGGUUUAAUUCGACGGUACACGAAGAACCUUACCAGGAUUUGACAUGCUAGAUAGUUGCUUGAAAGAGUAACGUGCCGUAAGGAAUCUAGACACAGGUGGUGCAUGGCUGUCGUCAGUUCGUGUUGUGAAAUGUUGGGUUAAGUCCCGCAACGAACGCAACCCUUGUCUUUAGUUAUUUUCUAAAGAGACUGCCUGUAAUAAACAGGAUGAAGGUAAGGAUGAGGUCAAGUCAUCAUGCCCCUUAUGUUCUGGGCUACACACGUGCUACAAUGGGAAAGACAAUGAGCUGCAAAUCUGUAAAUUUAAGCAAAUCUCUUAAACUUUCUCGUAGUUCGGAUUGUGGGCUGCAACUCGCCCACAUGAAGUUGGAAUCGCUAGUAAUCGCCAGUCAGCUAUAUGGCGGUGAAUCCGUUCCCGGGCCU
This 838-nucleotide ribosomal RNA is filed under the name uncultured bacterium. RNAcentral describes it as "bacterial SSU rRNA". It matches the Rfam family "Bacterial small subunit ribosomal RNA", at positions 524 to 1381 of the family's 1533-position model. The record is from RNAcentral.